Ctenopharyngodon idella (grass carp) is the source of this 700-nucleotide long non-coding RNA. RefSeq lists it as uncharacterized. NCBI's taxonomy places the organism in Eukaryota, Metazoa, Chordata, Actinopteri, Cypriniformes, Xenocyprididae. The transcript has 3 exons. The record is from RefSeq and is a predicted model, not a curated record.
AAUUACCACAACAAAUUAAUUCAAGUACUUUACUAUAGUAUGGGUAAAAAAAAAAACUAUAGUAUUUACUAUAAAUUACUAUAGUAUUUUUUUUACCUGGGCAUGUUUACCCUACAAUACAUGUUAUGAGCAUGUCUCUUCAUUUUGACAUUGUUUUUGUAAUGUUGAUUGAGGCAUUUGACCAUUUUAAUAGUCAGACAUAACAGAGAGAUCAUCAUAAUAAUAAUACCACGUGUGAUAUUGUGUCACGUACUGUGUUCUCUGUAAGUGAUUUCAGUGCAGCCAAUAUAUGACAAAAGAAUAAUAAAUAAAUUGGUCAAGUACUAGGCUUAGGCCUAAUUUAUGUCUAUUUAUUUAUAUGAAAUGAACUUAAAAUGUUUUAUUUGACCAAUUGGACUCUCUCUUUUUCAAGAAACACACAAUCCAAGAAGGAAGAUCCUUUCCUGGACUAUAGAGAUGCACCACAUGCUGCAAGGAGUUCCUCUGCCCGUUCUGCUUUGUUUCACCCAACAAAGUGGAGCAAAGUGAAAUCCCAUUUGGAGAGCCAUUUCAAAUGCAGUUCUCUAUGAAGACCAUCAUAUAUGGUCUGGCUGGGCUGCAGAAUUUCUCUGCGGGAUGUUGAGAAGACCUUCUUCUCUGGUCCGGAUUAUCAUCACAUUGAAGUGGAAGAAAAGAGAAACGAGGGGAGAGCAUCCGUUGG